This 852-nucleotide long non-coding RNA is filed under the name Varroa destructor (honeybee mite). RNAcentral's name for it is "uncharacterized LOC111250557, transcript variant X1". The record is from RNAcentral. Lineage: Eukaryota; Metazoa; Arthropoda; Arachnida; Mesostigmata; Varroidae.
AACUACGAAGCGAAAUUUGUGUGUAUGGCGAUAUCUUUUUGUCUUGUGGAGAAAUUUCGACAUGGUUGUUGAAACAGAGUAAACAAAUAUUAUCAUUUCACAUAGUCGGUCCACAGGGCCAAAAUGUUGUAUUACGACGCCUGAAAAACACAUUUGUAUAUGGAUGCUUGCUUCAUCCCAGCAAAUGGCCGCUGCGUAGAGUUGUCGGCCAUUUUUUUUCGACGCCCGGUAUCAACAUUUGAGAUCGUGCUCGUUUGCCGUCAACGCUGCCGAAGAGAAGUAAAGGUCUCAGUAGAUUUACGUUACAACGCCAGCGGUGCUGCACUUUGCGUUCACUUGUGGCUCGUAUUGGGCGGUCAACAGCCACAUGUUCGACCUAUUGUCUGCAACGCGUUGAAGCUAUAAAAAUCCAAUUUCGAUAGCGCAAAAAAGAAAUUUGGAGGCGGAGCAAAAGGAGAACCGCGUCUACCCGCAACUCUCGCUGUGUGCUCAGGACGAGACGAAAAUCGGCAUGCGAUUCUAGCAGUUGCAGUUCCCGUAUGGUGCGAGUUAGUGGACUUUUCAUCUAAUCCGUGGACCGUAUUACAGCUAAGGUCUCGUAUAAUGGCCAAUUAUUUAAAUUGAUCGUUACGAAUUUUCCUGACAAAGGAGGUAGUUUUCUACUAAUAAAGUAACAUUUUGUUAUUCUGAAGCCAAACUCAUUGUUGAAAGUUUUAUGUUUGGCACCACUGUUAGAUGGCUUCAUCAGAUGGCUGGCUCUCAGCACGAAAUGAAGUGCGUCAACGACCGUAUUCGAACCCAGACCACCACGUGAAGCCACUUGGAAGCCAAGUCAAUAUUUGAGCUAACUCA